Non-coding RNA from Odocoileus virginianus texanus, 6451 nucleotides. The record is from RefSeq and is a predicted model, not a curated record. NCBI's taxonomy places the organism in Eukaryota, Metazoa, Chordata, Mammalia, Artiodactyla, Cervidae.
GGAAAUUUUAUUGCUGCGCAUUUCAGUUUCCAACAGUUUAUCUUUUUGCACCUUUAACUCUGUGAUCGUACUAAACUCACUUGUUAGUUCUAGCAGUUUUGUAGCUUUGGAUUUAAAAAAAAAAUGUAGGUAAUAACGUCCUCUGCAAAUCUUAACAGUUUUAUUUCUAAUCUCUGCCUUUUAUUUCCUUUUCUGGCCUUUCUGCACUAGCUAGCACUCCAGUGCGAUGUUGAAUAAUAGUGGGAAGAGUGGACAUACCUGCCUUGUUGUCAACGUUAGAGGGAAAGCAUUCUGUCUCUGACCAUUCUGUUUUCAACAGCAAGGGCACAAUCACGUAAAUCAUACCAAUAUACACACUGCAACAAAACACUUAGUUUGACUGUACUUUUUGGUCAGCUAAGGCAAAAACGAUGGUGCAUGAAAUCGAAGUUCCCCUAUAACUGCAAUUGUAAUGUGAUAUGAAAACGUGGGAUUCCUAUUGCUGACAAAGUCACAAGGCACUGCUGAUACUGUUGUGGUCCUCGCCAACACAAAAUUGAAGGAAAUUCUAGAUUUCAGCUAGAGAUUAGCUUAACAAUAAGCUUUUUCUAUUUGAGGUCGCCUGUUAAAAUCGCGUGCCUGGGGAGGAAAGCCAGGGACCACAGAGACGUGUGGUCUGGUUUCCUAGAGAGGAAGCUCGCGAUACUUGGGUGCUGCGGCCGACGUAGUUACGCACUUCCAGUCACACCACACAUUGCACUUUUCCUGAGCCCCUGCCCUUCAUUGAGAGAGAGCCCAAUAAUGGCUGUCAUGCCCCUGAAAGUCUGGCACCAGGCAGUGGUGACCUUUGAGGAUGUGGCUGUUUACUUCACCCGGACAGAAUGGGCUGGCCUUUCUCCUGCACAGAGGGCCCUGUACAGAAGUGUGAUGCUGGAGAUCUGUGGGAACUUGAUGUCCCUGGGAUACCCAAUUCCCAAACCUACAUUAGUCUCACUUCUAGAGAGAGGGGAUUUGCUUGCGGGCCUGGAGACACAGGAUAAUCCUCCUGCACAGGGGACUGAAGAAAUCUAUAAAAAUGCCAGGACCCACAUGGACAGUGAAUUAACACCAACAUGGGGAAUUUCUGAAGAAAGAGACAUGAUGAUGUCACAUGGACCACAGAAGAACAUUCUUAACAAAAGCAGCUUCCUAGAAACAUGUGAACUGGAGCAACACCAGGAAAUCCCCAUAGUGAAAAAUGUUAGAGGAAAGGUUCUAAGAAUCCACUAUGAUGGGAAACCCUUCAGAUGUGAAGAGUGUGGGAAAUGCUUCAGCUAUUUUUCUUAUUAUGUUAGACAUCAGAGAAUCCACACUGGGGAGAAACCCUUUGAGUGUAAUGAGUGUGGAAAAGCCUUUAAUGGCAAUUCUUCAUUAAUUCGACAUCAGAGAAUCCACACUGGUGAGAAACCCUAUCAGUGUGAAGAGUGUGGGAGAGCCUUUAAUGAUAAUGCAAAUCUGAUUAGGCAUCAGAGAAUCCACAGUGGGGACAGACCCUAUUUCUGUAGGGAGUGUGGAAAUGGUUUCACCAGUAGUUCUGAGUUUGUUAUACACCAGAGAAUUCACACUGGAGAGAAACCUUAUAAGUGUAAUGAGUGUGGAAAAGCUUUUGUUGGUAAUUCACCACUUCUGCGACAUCAGAAAAUCCACACUGGAGAGAAACCGUAUGAGUGUAAUGAGUGUGGCAAAAGCUUUGGAAGGACUUCUCAUCUUAGUCAGCAUCAGCGUAUUCACACAGGGGAAAAGCCUUACUCUUGUAAAAUAUGUGGGCAAGCCUUCAAUUUCCGUACAAAACUAACUCGGCACCAGCAAGUCCACAGUGAGGUGAAACCUUUUGACUGUAUAUGUUGUGGAAAAGUGUUUAGUACUCAGGCUCAGUUGAAAAGACAUCUAAGAAUCCAUAUUCAGGAGACAUCCUGUGAUGAGUGUGGAAAAGUUUUCACUAGCGAAAGAAAUCUGCUUCAGCAUCAAAGAGUCCAUACUAGAAAGAAACCCUGUGACUGUGUCAAGUAUGAAAAAACCUUUAGGACAUCUUCCCAGCUAGAUUGUGUCCACCCUGGAGAGAAGCCUGUGCUGGAUGUUGGUUGUUUUGGGCUCCCAGAAUUUUUUACCCCCUUUUACUGGUAACAGUACACAAUAUUUCCUUUGCCUUCCAUCUUCCACUCGGGUAGAAUGUGUGACACAGGCCCAGUUUAGCUACAGGUUCCUUCCCUCAGGCUACAGCUCUUGGUUCAUAUGUCAAUAGAUGACCCAAGAUAGUCCAGUUAGAAUCCCAGACCAAGUUAAUAACCCUCCUAAUGUUGAGUGUGGCCCUGGCCACAGCAACCAGACAGAAGACUAUGGCCCUGCAAUCCUUUCACCUUCCAGUUGUUGCAAACUUUUGACAUUUGUACUUGUUAAGAGUCAAAGAUAUGUGAACAAUGUGGCCUCCUAAUGGAUGGUUUCACAGGCUUCUUGGUGUUUGGAGAACCACAUGCACCCAUGUGGACUUUGGAAAGCCUACCAGUUAUGAAUUCCAUGGUAUUGAAUAAUCCUUGAAACUCCCAGUACUUCAUUGAGCAAGGAUUUCCUUACCACCCUUAGGAUUUGGUGUCUGUUCUUUGUAGCACAGAGAGAAGAGGCUGGAAAAAUGAGUGGUUUGGGGGAGUGGUUGAUUAAUGUGGCCAAGGGCAGGCUUGAAUCCUGAGCUCCCACCUCCCAGGACCAAGACAGGUCUGUGGGCCUUGCAAGGGCAUGAGACCUGUUCUGGGCCAGUCUCUUGAGAUGCAAGAACCUGGUGUUCAAGGCUGGAGCCUGGAGUUUUACCACCAUCAUCAUCCUUGCUCUUCAGCAAAUGGGAGAACUUGUGGCUGGAUAGCAAGAGGAUUCGACAGGUCAUCCAUAACACCAAAGACAUGGUGGCUCCUAAUGUAAUCUUAUGAUAUGUCUUAAUAACAUGUGGACCCCUACAAGGCCAGUUAAUAUCACAACUUUGGUUAAACUGGAUCUAGGCUCACUUCUACCACCUGUCCCAAAGUUUGAAAAUGUCUUUUCCAUUCUGAUCCAGUUUUCUUUUUCUGGAAGUUAUCUUGAGACUUUCAUUUUCACAACCUUGAUGGAGUUAAAGCACACAAGAUUCAAGGAAGAUGCUCCAGCCCUCCAUCAACACCCAAAGCUGAACUCUACUUCAGUGAUUCCCUGGACAACUUGCUUAUGGAACAUUUUACAUGAUCUUUAAGUGCUGUCUUUACUACGAUACAGAUCCCAGGCGCCAGCCCCUGGUUUGGGUCCAUCGCUCGCCUCAUUCUUGCCUUCCCUACCCCACCUCGAGGAGCACUGCUUUCUCUAUUAGACCCGCAUCCGGGAGAAGGAAGCCAGGAUAGAGUACCCGGGAUUCCGCUGCAGGGGGUGGGGCCAGAGCACAUCCGAGAAGGAGCGAUGCUGCUGCUAGAGAGACUCGGCCGCGGUCUGGUGACGUACUUCCGGCCGCGCCGUGGAGCGGCUAGCUUCGGAGGGUGAAUCGAGGUCAGUGGGGGAACAGAAAAAGCAAGAGCCCCUCCAGGGCACCUGAGAUCGGAAGAAACCCGGAUUUUGGAGGGCACUGUCUUCUGGAGCGAUGUCAGUUCCAAAAGGACCCAGUGGACGUCUGCAGAUGUCCCACACAGGACAGAGAAGCCCCAGGGCAGGAGCCAUUACCAUGUGUGGUGUAGACCCUUGAGGAAGCAUUGGUAGGUUGUACUUGUGCAAAGCUGGUCAAAGCCUCUGGAACUGGACUAAGAGUGGACAAGAGGAUUUGGUAAGCUCCAGUCCUCCUCUGAGAGGGAGACCAGAUGAUGGCAGCCAUGCUCCUGACAUCCUGGCCCCAGGGCAUGAGCCAUGGAAUUGGCCGUAGGGCAGCAGGAACCUGUUGUUUCAGAAGUCGGUGACCUUCGAGGACGUGGCUGUGUACUUCACCCAGACAGAGUGGGACAGCCUGUCCACUGCACAGAGGGCCCUGUACAGGGAUGUGAUGCUGGAGAAUUAUGGGAAUGUGGCUUCCCUGGGAUUUCCGCUUCUCAAACCUGCUGUGAUCUCACAACUGGAGGGAGGAGGUGAGCUUGAGGGCCCAUCUCCACUGGCCUCUGGAGCAGGCACAGGCCCCCAGGGCCUCUGGACUGAUAUUGAUAUCCAGACUGACAAUAAUUUGACAGAAGAAAUGAAUGAAGAAAAAUAUAAUACAUCAUAUAAACUUCAGAGGAACUCUUUUCAGGAAACAGAUUUUACAGAAACCUAUAUUCUAAAGAAACAGCAGGAGGUCCACUCAGUAGGAAGUGAAGUGAAGAAAGAAAACAGCAAUGUCAUUGACAGGAUGGUGAAAGACAAUACUAGCCCCAUGGAGGAGUGUUUGUUUAGUCAGAGUCCAAAUUUGAAUCAGUGUCAUACCAUCUCCACUGGAGAGCAGCCCCCUGAGUGUACAAGACUGGAGAAAGCCUUCAGCUUUGACACAAAACUUAUUCAACAGGAAAUAAUUAAUGCUGGGGAAAGACCUUUCAAAUGUGAAGAAUUAAUGGAAAACUUUAGCUGUAACUCUCAACUUAAUCAGGGUCAAGAUAGCUACACUGGGGAGAAGCCCCAUCAGUAUAAGGAGUGUGGCAAAGCCUUUAACAUCAAUGCAAAAUUAAUUUGGCAUCAAAGACUUCACAGUGGGGAGAAGCCCUUCAAAUGUGUAGAGUGCGGUAAAAGCUUCAGUUACAGUUCCCAUUAUAUUACACAUCAGACAAUCCACAGUGGGGAGAAGCCCUAUCAGUGUAAGGUGUGUGGAAAAGCCUUCAGUGUUAAUGGGAGUCUAAGUAGGCAUCAGAGAAUCCAUACAGGAGAGAGGCCCUAUCAGUGCAAGGAGUGUGGGAGCGGCUUUAGCUGCAGUUCUGCAUAUAUCAUACAUCAGAGAAUCCACACUGGAGAGAAACCUUAUGAAUGUAAAGACUGUGGAAAAGCUUUCAAUGUUAAUGCAAAAUUAAUUCAACAUCAGCGGAUCCACACUGGAGAGAAACCUUAUGAAUGUACUGAGUGUGGGAAAGGCUUCAGGUGCAGUUCCCAGCUUAGGCAGCAUCAGAGCAUCCACACUGGAGAGAGGCCUUUUCAGUGUAAGGAGUGUGGAAAGGCCUUUAGCAGUAAUGCAAAACUCAUUCAGCAUCAAAGAAUUCACACAGGGGAGAAACCCUAUGAAUGUACUGAAUGUGGAAAAGCCUUUGGUGUCAAAGGGAAAUUAAUCCAGCACCAGAGAAUCCACACGGGUGAGAAACCCUAUGAGUGUAAAGAAUGUGGCAAAACCUUCAGGUGUAACUCCCAGCUUCGGCAGCAUCUGAGAAUCCACACUGGGGAGAAGCCCUAUGAGUGUAAUGUGUGUGGAAAGGCCUUCAACGUUAAUGCGAAAUUAAUGCAGCAUCAGAGGAUUCACACUGGGGAGAAACCCUUUGAAUGUAAUGAGUGCAGGAAAUGCUUUACUUCUAAAAGAAACCUACUUGAUCAUCACCGAAUCCAUACUGGAGAAAAGCCCUACCAAUGUAAGGAAUGUGGGAAAGCGUUUAGUAUCAAUGCCAAACUAACUAGGCAUCAGAGAAUACACACUGGGGAGAAACCUUUCAAAUGUAUGGAAUGUGAGAAAGCAUUCAGCUGUAGUUCUGACUAUAUUGUGCAUCAGAGAAUCCAUACUGGAGAGAAACCCUUUCAGUGUAAGGAGUGUGGAAAAGCCUUCCAUGUUAAUGCUCAUUUAAUUCGGCAUCAAAGAAGCCACACUGGUGAGAAACCCUUCAGAUGUGUGGAGUGUGGCAAAGGCUUCAGCUAUAGUUCUGACUGUAUUAUACAUCAGACGGUUCAUACUUGGAAGAAACCCUAUGUGUGUAAUGUGUGUGGGAAAGCCUUCAGGUUUAGCUUCCAACUUAGUCAGCAUCAGAGCAUUCACAGUGAAGAAAAGUCCUCAUGAAAGGGAUGUAGAAAAUUGUCAGUGUUAACGCUGAACUGGAUCAAGUGUCCUCAGAUUCACCCUGGUGGAAAACCCUGAAAGGGAAAUUAAUAUGGCUGAGUCUUCACAAGGAAACAAAUCUUUUUCAUUUUAUUCAGUUUUAAAUCAAGAAUGAUGACCAGUUUUCAAAUAACAUCCAAAACUAAAUAGUUUGGUUUAUACCAACAACCAAUAGGAAAUAUAAUGAAGGAAAAUAUUCCAUUCCCAACAGCAUCAAGAACAGUCAAUUUUCUGGGUAUAAACUUAUUAUGUAGGACUUCUGUGGAGAACUUGCAGAUCUCCAUUGAGGGCCACAGAAGGGAAGUUAAAUAAAUGGAAGAGAGCAGUACCUUCUUCUUAGAUAGAAAAACUCUUCAACUACUUACCUAAAUUAAUUUAUUGCCCUUUAAUUUUUUACAAGAAGCAUGCAUCAGUUUGUAAAGAGGUGUAACAAUAAAACUUUCCUUAAGGGAAAAA